Molecule: ribosomal RNA, 679 nt
Filed under: Pleurotus sapidus
Lineage: Eukaryota; Fungi; Basidiomycota; Agaricomycetes; Agaricales; Pleurotaceae
Description: eukaryotic LSU rRNA
Rfam family: 5.8S ribosomal RNA (bases 264-417)
Source: RNAcentral
UCCGUAGGUGAACCUGCGGAAGGAUCAUUAAUGAAUUCACUAUGGAGUUGUUGCUGGCCUCUAGGGGCAUGUGCACGCUUCACUAGUCUUUCAACCACCUGUGAACUUUUGAUAGAUCUGUGAAGUCGUCUUUCAAGUCGUCAGACUUGGUUUGCUGGGAUUUAAACGUCUCGGUGUGACAACGCAGUCUAUUUACUUAACACACCCCAAAUGUAUGUCUACGAAUGUCAUUUAAUGGGCCUUGUGCCUAUAAACCAUAAUACAACUUUCAACAACGGAUCUCUUGGCUCUCGCAUCGAUGAAGAACGCAGCGAAAUGCGAUAAGUAAUGUGAAUUGCAGAAUUCAGUGAAUCAUCGAAUCUUUGAACGCACCUUGCGCCCCUUGGUAUUCCGAGGGGCAUGCCUGUUUGAGUGUCAUUAAAUUCUCAAACUCACUUUGGUUUUUUUCCAAUUGUGAUGUUUGGAUUGUUGGGGGCUGCUGGCCUUGACAGGUCGGCUCCUCUUAAAUGCAUUAGCAGGACUUCUCAUUGCCUCUGCGCAUGAUGUGAUAAUUAUCACUCAUCAAUAGCACGCAUGAAUAGAGUCCAGCUCUCUAAUCGUCCGCAAGGACAAUUUGACAAUUUGACCUCAAAUCAGGUAGGACUACCCGCUGAACUUAAGCAUAUCAAUAAGCGGAGGA